UGGGCCUAUAGUCGAAUGGUAAGACGUCUGCUUGACGUGCAGAAAACUCGGGGUUCGAUUCCUCGUGGGCCCAU
Molecule: transfer RNA, 74 nt
Filed under: Candidatus Anstonella stagnisolia
Lineage: Archaea; Nanobdellati; Microcaldota; Candidatus Micrarchaeia; Candidatus Anstonellales; Candidatus Anstonellaceae
Description: tRNA-Val(gac)
Rfam family: tRNA
About the family: Transfer RNA (tRNA) molecules are approximately 80 nucleotides in length. Their secondary structure includes four short double-helical elements and three loops (D, anti-codon, and T loops).
Source: RNAcentral